CAACCGGGAGGAGAGGGCUCGCCGGGCUCCUCAGCCCACCUGCAUCCCCCCCAUCCCACGGUGGAAAACGUCUGGCAGAGAAAAAGCUGCGGCGUGUCUCUCCGGAGGGAGAACCUCUCUCAACACCCCGAUGCUAACGAGUCCCGCGCUGGCUCGGAUCUCAUCCAGCCCCGGCAGCGCCCGCGGGGUAAGGAACACUUUAGCACCCGUGGAAAUGCUGGGAUCCCCUCUUUAGCCUUUCUGGUGUCCUCCAGCAUUAGCGACGGCUUGUGUUCCCAGCCGAAACCGCCCGCUACGGUGGAUUUCCUCCCAAAUCCGCCUUUUCAGAUUCCUAAAGCAUUCCUGAAGUUUCAGCCUUUCAGCCAGAAACAGCCGUGACUGCCCUCGGCCCAGCAGCUGGGCUUGGUGAAGCAAAACCCCUUUCCGAGUGAGGUAUCCGUGGAAAAAGUGCUUUCCCCUUUCUAAAUAAAGCCAGGUCCAGCUGGGGAUGGCAGGAGCCCAAGGUAGGAUGUUACGAUUUAUUUUGGAAACAGAUGCCAGAGGAGGUGAAGCUUUUAAGCGUCUGGCCGAGCAGAUGCGGGGAAGUGGCAAGCCCGGUCAGUGGAGCCUUCCAGCUCUUUAUUUGCAGGAAUUUCUGGCUUUGCUCAUAUAUAUACAAUGCGUACCUUAGAUUUUAAAUUUUUUUUUUUUUUUUUCUCUCCUGACAGCUGGAAGUCUUUUCUUUGCUGAUUAUUCAUUUCCACCUCCAGGAGCUGCUCACGCACGGGCUGAGUGCUGGUGCUGGGGUGAGACGUCUGCCCCAGGAGCGCGGCUUUCGGCAAACACACCUGGUCUGGCAGCUGGGGACUCCCACGUCGAUGGCUUCGGUCCAACGGGCCGGUGUCCCUUGGGAUGGCACGGGACGGAUGAGGGAAGCCUGGCUGGGUGCUCCGGUUCAGGGCCAGGGGCGGGGGGGUUCAACAAGAGCCCCCCCUCCCCCCAAGCAUCCCCUCCCACCAGCACAGGACAAGUUUACGAGCCUGGUGGAACCAAAAGUCCUUUUCCAACCCCAAAAGCCCUGCUUUUUUUCCAAAGAAAAUAGAUUGCGACGGAGAAAUGCUUUUCGCAGAAAAGUUGCUGCUUCCUGUGAAAAACUUUAUAUCCCCAUAAAAAUACCCAAAGUCAACAUUUUGCUUUGCCUCCAAAUGUUUCUGGUUCUCCCAGGGCUGUUACGUUACUGGUUCCAGAAUGAGAAAGCCACAUUUUCUGGGACAGGUUUCAAGUUUUUUUGUUGUUUUUUUUUUUUGUUGUUGUUUGGGGUUUUUUUGUUUGUUUGUUUUGUUUUGUUUUUGUCUUGUUCCCGGGGAGGCACAGCAGUCCCUGGGCGGGGGUGAUGCCAACCCUUCUAUUUUCACUGCAGAGAAACACGCUGGUCUGCCAUCCCA
Long non-coding RNA from Tyto alba (common barn owl), 1424 nucleotides. RefSeq lists it as uncharacterized. The record is from RefSeq and is a predicted model, not a curated record. The transcript has 2 exons. Lineage: Eukaryota; Metazoa; Chordata; Aves; Strigiformes; Tytonidae.